RNAcentral lists this unclassified non-coding RNA (2366 nucleotides) under Hevea brasiliensis (rubber tree). The record is from RNAcentral. Lineage: Eukaryota; Viridiplantae; Streptophyta; Magnoliopsida; Malpighiales; Euphorbiaceae.
UUUCGAAAUUUUACACCGUUUAUAUGAGUAUGCGUAUAAAAUAUAAAUUAUUAUAUAUAUACAGCUAAAUGCCCACUGUGUGUGGGGUUAGGAAGUGGUUCAAGCAGUCAAAUAGGCAGUGGAGGAUCACCUGUAACAUGUAGGUAUAGCAGAUAAGAUAGGGAAUCCAACUCACAAGAAAACUACCCUACCACCAUUUCUACUACCAUCAAAACACAAAGGAAAACAAAUCAUCAAAAUAAUCUUCAAGGAAAAAAUAAUAAAGAUUUAAUCAUCAACUACCACAAAAUAUGUUUUUAAAACUGGAAAAUUCUGGUUGAGGAUGAUUGAAAUAAAGAGAUCAACUGUGAUUAAGCUGACCCACCAUGACUUUUCUGAUAGCCAUCUUUAGCUCUUCCAUUUACACUUUGGUUCUUCUAGAAGUUCUUGCUCCAAUCAGUAACCAAAACAUCCUUUUCAGCUUACAAUUUGAUUGAUUUUAUAUAAAUAGAGAUCUUGACUGAUAGAGACUGUGACUCUGAUUAAGAUAGCAAUAGCAUUCCUUUAUUUCUUAUGAGCUUUCUGUUUUCUUCUAAUGGUUAGAAUGCGCUUUCAAGAAUUGAAAGCUUUUUUCUAUUUUCACUUACCCCAUUUAUUGAGAUCUCCAAUACUCGGCCAUCUCAAACCCAUUCUUGCAAUUGUGGUAGUCCUCAAUAGUUUGUUCAAUUUCAGCUUGUGUGUUCAUUACAAAAGGUCCAUGCUGUACCACUGGUUCAUUGAUCGGUUGGCCUGCAACUAGUAUGAAUCUUAAUGGCUUGGAAGAUCUAUUCCACACGCUUAAACCAUCUCCAGAACCCAAAACCAUAACAUGGUGAGCAGUUGCUUGCAACGAGUUUCGCGAGCCAAAGGCACCUUCACCUUCAAUAAUAUAAACAAAUGAAUUCCAUGAUUCUGGAAUGCUUUGAUGGACUUGAGCUCUUGGUUUCAGAGUGAAAUCCAGAUACAUUGAUGAUGUUCUUGUGUAUACUGGAGACCUAACUCCCAUUGAUUCUCCUGCUAUAACUCGCACUUCAGCCCCAUCUUUUUCAGCCCUUUGGAUGUCAUCACUUAAAAGUUCUUGAUACCUUGGUUCAAUCCUGCAAUAUUGGUUUUCAGAUUAGUUUUAAUUCUUCAAAUAGCAAAUCAAAGAUAAAUUCACCAUUCUUUCCAUUUCAAGUAAUUUGAUCAAUUUUGAAUGAAAAAUGUGGGGAUUUGCCAUAAAUUGCUUGCUGCUGGGGAAGAGCUGGCUUAUCUUCAAUGGAAGGAAUUACGUAGGCAUUUGAGAUCAUAACUAACCUCAGAAUAUAAUGGGAAAUCAGCAUAUCAGCAAUUUUUACAGAAAUUCAUAAUUCUUUGAAAAUCAUGAUAAAUUCAAGAGUGAUUGGUAAAAUUCCUUUUCUAUUAUCCACAGCAAGUAGUUCAUAUUUGAAAAUCUGGUAACCAAUGAGUCUAAAGACCCUUUGUUUUUUUUUUAGUCAUUGUGGUCCACAGAGUUCUGUUUCUGAUUAGCUUACAUUUUGUCUUCAGAUGAAAGAUUUAUCCAAAGCUGCAACCCUUUUUGUGUUCCUUCUCCUGCAGGCAUUUCUGAGUGGAUUAUCCCUCUUCCUGCUGUCAUCCACUGCACAUCUCCAGCAUGGAUUGUACCCUUAUGCCCUGCAAAAUCUUGAUGAGUGAUGCCUCCCUGAUAUACACAACAGUAAUAUAAUAUUUAGUUUCUUACAAUUCAAUAUUCAACCUAUCAGAUUUCCUACUGAAUUUUAAACCAAAAAUCAACUGUACCUGAAGCAUAUAUGUAACAGUCUCAAAACCUGUGAUACAGAUGUUUAUUAGAAUAUAAAAUCCCAAAAUUACUAUCUAUGAUAAUGCAAAAACAUUAACUAAAGAAAGGAUGGGAAUGUUUCAAGAACCUCUAUGCGGGUGAUCAGGAAAUCCAGCAGGAGGAGUCACUGAAAAAUCAUCCAACAUUAGAAAAGGAUCCAAGAACUUCAGCUCACUCCUUCCAAUGCCUCUUCUAACAACAGCACCAUCGCCUUCAUACUGGGGGGUGGCUAGGACCUUCUUGGUGACCAAUCUUGGUCUAUUGAAACCAUGGGAUUGAUUAGAUGCAGACAUGAUAUUUCUGAUGGAGGAAACAGCUUUGAUAUUGUUUCUGCUCUUGGCAGUUGUUGGGUACAAGCUAAACAAUAACUUGUUAUAUAAAGCUUUCAUAUAAAAUAAGGAAAGCCCGGUUUGUUUGUUGUGUGUGUCCUCUCUGCUUUCCUGUAAAAGAAAUUGGAAACUGAAUUGUUUGGGUUUAGAAAUUGGACCAACUCAUAUGGGAUAUAUAUAGAAGAUAGAUUCAGAGAAAG